Molecule: long non-coding RNA, 7172 nt
Organism: Esox lucius (northern pike)
Lineage: Eukaryota; Metazoa; Chordata; Actinopteri; Esociformes; Esocidae
Source: Ensembl
GUUGUCUUGUUUUAUAUUAAUGAAUAAAGCCACUCUCUUUUGUAUGUGGCAGAGUCUGUCACCCACCUCUCCUUGGUCUCUCUGUUGUAUGUGAGUCUGUCACCCACCUCUACUUUGCUGUGGUGAAUCUGGAACCAUCAGUGUCCAAUAAUCUUACUCUGAACCCAAGGGAGUCUCUCAUAGGUCUGGGCUGGGUUUGGCCUUGGAAUGAUCUGGACCACAGGUGUAAGGUACCCCUUCAUUGGACAAGGUGUAUCAGUGAUUCAGGACUCCUACAUUGUGAGAAACAAAGAUGGAAUCUUGCACAACACAAAGUUAGAAUCAAAACUACAGCACAGAGUUUCGUAUUAGCUAACUCUAUUAAACCCCAAUAUUGUUUCAGUUGUUUCUUAAUCAAACAUGUCUUCCUCUCUCCCUUUUUUAACUUUGCCUUGCUCUAGGGACCUCCCAUUAAGCUCAUUUCUGUCUCAUCCAUCAAUGUUUCACAACAAUCUGGGAUUCACUCCCCAAGCCACUACUCAUCAUAUUCCCUAAGUCAAGGAUCUAUGAGCUCACUCAUUUUCCCAAGAGAGUCAAGGACAAGCCACAGGUCCUUCUGUCCUCAAUAUGAGAUAACAACACCCACUCAUUGCACUGACCAUGGGAACAGUAGUGGAGCCAGAGCAAGAGUGUAGUUCAUCGGUCUCUUAACAAUUAAAUGUGGAAAAAUCAAAGACAAACAGACUGUUUGGGAUAAUAAUAUGAGCCCUGGUUUAAUGUUUCAUCAAUUAACUCUCAAUGAAUAUACAAGUGAUCACACAGUGAGAUGUUUCGUCUACUCAUCAGGUUAAUGUGAAAUAACAUUUUAUGAAAAUAACCCCACAUCAGAGUUAACAGUUUCGUCAUCUCAGUUUCAAUCUUAUCUUUUUUUUGUCCUUUGACUUCUUUUCGAAGGGUUUUCUAUAUAUAUAUAUAUAUAUAAAAAAUGUCGUACAAUACAAUAUUAUAACAAUGAAACAACAAUAAAACCUGUACAAACCAUAAUCAACUAUUAUUUGCAAAACCUCAACGCGGUAGACACGUACAGCUCAGGAGCCUUUCUCAAAGCCUUUCACAUAUCACUUGAUUUCCGGUGAAACAAUCCACGCUGGCCUUGCGCUUUUAAUUCAAAAUGUCGGCCGAAGGCGUGCCUAGCACAUGGGGUGUAUCCUUUACAUCGGAGAUAAGCGCGUGACUGUUGUUCUGAGUAGACGAGGUUUUGUCCUCGGUGCGCACCAACUGGAUAGGCUAGAACGUGUUUGAGACCAGCCUUGUCUACACUCGCAAUAGACUCAAAAUCGUUUCUACCUUUAAUGUGCACUAGGUCCAUCAGCGCAAGCAACAACGAACAUGAAGGGUUUUGCUCUAUAGUGUCAGCGUCCCGGAUCCCCAUACUCCUGAUAGUCUUGUAGAUGUGUUUCCGUUUGUAUAUUUUCUCUCUUUCGGAUAGUCCCUCUUGCACUGUGGUCUACGGUUUAUGGGUUGAGGCAGUCGCGUACCUCUCGAAGCCUCGCAGGAUACAACGUCGAUGUGGCUGGUGUAAGGGCUUUUAUAAGACAGACUUGGAAUGAGAUAAUUUACCAUUGCUUGGAUAAGAGAACGUUGAACCACAGUAAACUCAACACUGGUUGGAUGUCCAAACACGGCUCAUCUAUCCACCCACCGCCCAUUUAUCCACCCACCGCCCAUCUAUCCACACACGGCUCAUAUAUCCAAACACGGCUCAUUUAUCCACCCACAGCUCAAUCUUUCCCGGUUGUCGGGAUAACGAGUGUUUGUUCCAAUAGCAAGCCAUUUUAACGUAAUGUAUUCGCUAGACUUGACUAUAUGAAAUUAACAUGACAGAUAUUAACACCGUAAUACUGACUAGACGUAAUUACAUUGUGACUAGUCAGAAUUUUGAUUCAAGAUAUAUGUAACGUUCUUCUGACUAGUCAAAACACCAGUUAAAGAUGUCUGUAAGUCAAUUUUGACAAGUCAAAACUGAAUUACAAAUAUCAGAAGUGACCUCACUGAAAACGACACUCGACCUUCAUACAUCCCAAAUGGAAAUUGCAGAAUUUUGUUUGGACUAGUCAAAAUUAUAGUUGCAGAUAUCUCAAAUGUCCUUAUUUCGAAUUGUUUUGCAUGACGUUUCUCAUGCGAGGCAUCAUCAUAUUGGUCCAGCAACGCUUUUCGGUGUUAGCAGCAAUGGCAGUUUCAGUUGUGGAUAGUUAAAAAAUGUAAUGAAAUAAAACGAGCUUAUCAUCUGAGAUUUAGAGGUGAACAAGAGUUUUUUUUUUUAAUCGACUUUUGAAAGAAAGUAAAUCUUCUGUAUUUCCUGCUAAAAGCGCCUGUCGUGCACUGGCUGAAGCCAUACAUAUUUUAUCUAAAACUAGAACUUCGGCCUCACGCAGGUCUGACAUGGCGGUUAAUGCUUGCCAUACGGUGGAAGAGUAGUUACAUAUGUUUGAAUACAAGCAAGCCACUUACUCCCGCUCCUGACUCCUACAUGUAACUACAGAUAUCUGUAAUUACAUUUUGACUUGGCAGAAUGAAAGUAAAAUAUAUCUCCAAUUUGAAAAAUAUUCAAAGAUAUCUAUAACUUGAUAAUAGAUUUCUACAAUUACAUUAUGACUGGCUGUAAUUCCAGUUUCAGAUAUCUUCAAUUUAAUUAAUACUAGUUAGAAUUCCAGUUCAAGAUAUUUACAACUGAUUUAUGACUAAUUACAACAUUAUUUAAGAUAUUGCAAAAUAAUGAUCUAUAUAUCUUAAAUUUAGGGGGAUUUAAGAUAUCUUGAACUGGAAUCGUGACUGGUCAGAAUUAAAUUAUAGAUAUCUGGAACUGUAAUUACUAUAGUCAUAAUUGGUUUGAAUAUAUCAACAAUAGACAUUUCGGAUAUCUGCAACUUCAUUUAAAGAUAUCUGUAAUGAGAAACCUCAUAGACAUGAAUGGCAAUAGUAAUUUAAAACUGACUAGUCAAAACAGAAUUACAGAUAUCUUCAAUUGUCGUUUUGACUAGUCAUAAUGACGUUAUAGAUAUCUUGCAGUUCUGACUUGGCGAAAUUAUGUUGCAUUCAUGUGUAAGAAAUAUCCAGUCUAGCGAAUACAUGUUAAAACGGCUUGCUAUAUGUUCCGAUCGUGGACCUGCUGCUGUCGUAAUAGACGAGGUUGUUUUUCAGAGUCCUGCGUAACCACUGGAAUAUGUUUGAGACCAGCCUUGUCCACACUCGCCAUAGACUCAAAGUCGUCUCCACCUUCAAUGUCCAAUUAGUCCAUCAGCGCAAGCAACAACGAACGCGAAGGCUCCUGAUAGUCUUUUAGAUGUUUUUCCGCUUUUCUCUCUUUCAGAUAGUCCCUCUUGUUUGCACAACAAGUUGACGACGUUAUCAAACAGUCCUUGUUCGCUUUCACAGCUAUAAACAUUUGGAAUCAGAGGUCACAUACCACGGAGGGUUUUCUGUCACGAUGAAUGUCGGUGUUUUAUCCCCCAUCUUGCUUUAUAUCGAUUAAUAAAGCCACUCGGUUUCCAGUGGAACUAUAAAGUAGGCUAUUGCGUUAUAAUUCAACCAGUCUUUACACAACACUAAACGCACUGUAGUAUACGGUGUAAGGGUUGAGCCAGCUACGCACCUCUCGAUGCCUCGCAGGCAGUAAUGUAACGGUUUUUACACGCCAGACUUGGGAUUAGAUCACUUACCCAGCUCGGUCACUGACAGAAGGACAAGAUUCUAGAUCUGAGAGUCUAGAGGGGGCGGAGCCACAACAUUUCACAACUACGGCUGUUUGAUCCAACCCAUGUUAGCAAAUUGGGUAACUGUCGAAACACGGAAUGUUGUGUGGAAAGGAUCUCAAGGAUGAGUGGUCGAUUGUGUUGUAGGAGACUCCUGCUUAAAUAAGGAAUCUAAAAGACUUGUUGCACUUAUUACAUCAGGGGUUCUCAAACUUUUUUGGACCAGGGACCCCUUACAGGGGACAACAUUUUUCAAGGACCCCCUAAUGAUUUUAAUACCGAUUAAGCAUGUGCUUACUAAAAUGUUUAGUCUUAGAUGCCAUUGGAAAUAUUUGAAUUCUAAAAGCUCUGAACAAAUCAUAAAAUAAGUUAUCAACAGUGUUACAGAACACAUCAUAGUAAUUAAACCUAUUACUUUAGAAGAGUUUGUACAUUAGGGCUAUACGUCACAUUCUUAUCUCACACAGUUCACAGUAACUCACUUAAUGAUUUCAUUCUUAAUGAGAUGGCUCUGCCAUUCUCUCACCACACAGUUCAUCCACUCUUGGAGGGAUGGAUGACUGGCAGACUCAGAUUGUUCUCCACAUGCAAACGAGCUCUGUGCUUAGUCUACAUUGCAGUCAAAGUUGAGAAUGCUGACUCACAGAGGUAUGGAAAGAGAAGGGAAAAUACUAGUUUUUGGAUAAAAUGAAUGGGCCAACAUUGUACAUUGACGCAAUACUCACUCAAAGGGUUUUACUUCCCAAUUUGUCACCAAAUGCCCAGUAUUACUGGCUUCCCGUACAGACCUCCUGCCAAACUGCAAUUCACAGAAAAUGCUCUAGGGGCUCCCCGAGCUCCACCGCUCUGCAGUCAGCGGUUUUCCAGUCAGGCAGCAAGUCCUGGGCAGGUGACUGUGCUUUACACAGCAAAUGUUCAGUUUUACCACAAAUGUAUACACCCAAUGGCACCUUCGGUCCAAACCCAACAGAGUCAGAAUUUUGAUGUUUGCUAGUCAAAUGUACAUGUUUUACUGCCCAAUUGCACGACCAAUGGGAUUAUCCAUAAUACACUUCCAUCCAAACUCCACAGAGUCCAAAUUUGGAGGUUUGCUGGGCAAAUGUACAUGUUUUACUGCCCAAUUGUACCCCAAAUGGGAUAACCCAUAAUACACUUCGGUCCAUAAUCCCCUCAGUCCAUAUUUUUAUGUUUAUUGGGCAAAUGCACUUUAUUCUUCCAAAUUGUACGAUGGGGUACCUCACAUGCUCAUGUAGCACAGGAAAAACUGCAUAUUUCUGUCUGAAGUAAUAAAGGUGUGAUACAUUAUUUAGCCUUAUUCUUACCUCAUAUAAGGAUGAUGAGUACAUGCAGGUAUAGAAGAGACAGAGACAAUCAAAGACAUCUUGAUACACGGGAUGGGUACAGGGAUGGGUUGCAAUAUGUCACACAGGUAUAAAUCAUUUAGCUAAGUUAAAUAUCAAACUAAACUAAGCAAACCGUAUCAAUUCUUAGAACUAUACAGAGUAUUAAGAACAACCUUUGGUUCCUCUGCUUUAUAAUCUGGAUUUGAAUAUGUAGAUGACAGUACUGCAGACACAGCCACACACAGACAUACACAGACACACACAGACACACGCAUACACACGCAUACACACGCAUACACACAGAGUUAGUCAGGCCCUAAAUAAGGGUAUCAGUUCAAAGGGAGAGGUUGCAGGAGGUUUCACAUCACAUGGUUAUUCCCAAUUCGUGUCCAUACAUUGAGCUAGUGGUGCGCCACAAAGUCCUUACAGGACUCUGCAACAGUUUACCUAUUCUCCUGGUCCCUAAUAUAAAAGCUACUGCAAUACCAAAAAUAACACUCAACUAAUAAUGAAAUGGUGGAACUGAAUAUCAGAAAGAAAUAGGGACAGGGGCGGCAGCAGGCCGAAUCAGAGGUCACAUACUAUGGAGGGUUUUCUGUCACGAUUAAUUUAGGUGUUUUAUCCGUGUUAAUGUAUGUUGGUGAAUAAAGCCACAUGGUUUCCAAUAGAACUAUAUAGUCUGGCGUUAUAAAAAAAACAGUUUAUACUUGACGUAUCUUGACGUUAGCCUUACUUCUUAUGAUAACGCUAAGGCUAGAUUGUGACCUAAAGCACGGGAUUACCGGUAGCAAGCCUAAUUGAUUAAAAUGAAAAAUAAUCUACAAAAUUAACACUAUUUACAGUGCGCGAAACAGCCAAAUCGUUAAUACAUACAACAACCUAAUAAUAAAUAUACAUAAAACAAUAAGUGUUCAUUAACCAUAUUGUGGCAUUCUCACCCGAGCUCCUUGCGCCAUCUUUUCUUUUUCAGCAUCAACACCCACCGAGCAGCCGAGAUAAACGUCCUCACGUUUUGUGCGAAGUCUCUUCUAUAACGAUCCAUAUUUGGAAGAGUCAACCUCCGUCACGGGCGUGUGCGGCAGCAGCUGGACCCUUCUCGGAAACUCGCCUCCACCCAUUAGCUCUGAUUUUAUCUCAAAUCUAGACCUCAGAAAUACUGUAAAUUAACCAAAUAUUCCUCUAUCCUAAGACCCAUUUUUCUCCAUCUGCCCCCAUCCUGCAAUAGGUUUACGUUUACCUCAGCACCUCAUACUUCCUUUACCAGAGCACAACCGACAUUAUUUGUCUUAUCUAAACACGGGGACUCAAUACAUUAAUCAUUAAGAAUGCAUCAGUUCAAUAUAUUUCCAUAAAAACACAGCUAAUGUAUACAUUUCAAGAUAGCAAAUAUUACACCCUUAAAUUCGGAUGCUGUCCUUUUAUCAGAGAUCCUAUUCAAUGACAUUUACCUGAUGACAGAUCAACAGUCUAUCUUGGUGUGGCACUAAUCAAUGAUUAAACUGUUGGUUUGUGACCACGUUCUCUCCCUCCCUGCCUGUUCGUUCAUGUUUAUCACUUCCCUGCCAUGAUCAUACAUAUCACAAACCAAUAUUGAACAAACUUUAGCUAUAUCUAGAUGAUUCAAAACACCUAAACUGAAGGGGGAAAAUGCCAAGCUGUUGUAUUGAGAUUGUUACCAUGAACCUUUGGGCUACUUACACUACAUUCUUGACUGGCGGUGGCUCGUCCAUUACUUAGCUAGAUACUUGCAGACCAUAUAUGGUGAAGACUAAAACAGAGAUUGUGCAUAUCAUUUUAGCAGGCGUUCUUCCUUUCAAAUCAUUCACUAACAAUUUUUCACACAGCCAUAUGAACUACUCAGUGUUAUCUAGCAAGCAAGCUACUAGUACUGUACCGUUUGUUGGAUUAAACUUGAAAAUAAAGAUAGCUAGCUGACUACGUCUUAACUAUUUUAUAGCCAGAAGAAAGCUUAUAUUUUAUCACAUUCGCUCGUUCGUUCUAUAGCUAUGAACAUUUAUUGACGUUUAUACAUGUUGUACUUACUGUGAAAAUCAAACUUACAGCUACAGUAAUCCACUAAACCAGCCUAUACACAUUG